AGGUAAUUAGUUUAAGUAAAAUAUUUGAUUUCGGCUCGAAAGAUUGUGGUUCAAGUCCACCAUUGCCUG
RNAcentral lists this transfer RNA (69 nucleotides) under Anthias woodsi (swallowtail bass). Its description in RNAcentral is "tRNA-Arg". It matches the Rfam family "tRNA". Rfam says of the family: Transfer RNA (tRNA) molecules are approximately 80 nucleotides in length. Their secondary structure includes four short double-helical elements and three loops (D, anti-codon, and T loops). Lineage: Eukaryota; Metazoa; Chordata; Actinopteri; Perciformes; Anthiadidae. The record is from RNAcentral.